This 918-nucleotide long non-coding RNA is filed under the name Marmota monax (woodchuck). Lineage: Eukaryota; Metazoa; Chordata; Mammalia; Rodentia; Sciuridae. The record is from RNAcentral.
UCUUUCUUUCUUUCUUUUUCUUUUUUUUUAUUUUGUGGUACUGGGGAUUGAACCCAGAGGCACUUAAACACUGAGCCACAUGCCCAGCCCUUUUUUGUAUUUUACUUAGAGACAGGAUCUCACUGAGUUGCUUAGACCCUUGCUAAAUUGCUGAGGCCGGCUUUGAAUUUGCAAUCCUUCUGCCUUAGCCUCCCGAGCUGCCGGGAUUACAGGCCCUCCAAUUCUUUCUUCACACCAGAACAACCUUACCUAUACCAACCCUAAUAAUUUUGUUUUCAUGAUUGAAAAAAAAUAUUCAGCUGGCUUCCCUAUCUAUAAAAUACAUAUGAGAUGUGGCAUCAGAAUUUUUAUCACCUCUCCAAAAGCAAACACACAUACCCAACAAACACUCCAUACCAACAGAACUGUCUUCCUUUCUUAGUGCAUACCAGUCUCUUUUACACUUCCUACCUUGGCAUAAACGAACCUAUUGGCAGACCUAUGCCACAAACGAACACAAUAUUUUUUUUCCUGUUCUACACCUUAGGUCUGGCUAACUCAUCUUCAAGACUAAAGUCACAUGCUAGAUUCAGCUCCAGGAUGCCUUCUUUAAUUGUCCCUCUCUACCCCUGCAUUUGUAUUAUAACCCAACUAUGUCACAUAGUUAUUUGUUACCCCACUAUGUAGGGAGUAUCCCUUGAGAGCAAUAACUUCAUUUUAUGACUUUGUAUUCCCAGCUUCUAGUCCAGGGCUUAUGAAUAGAGUGGUCAUUUUUCAGUAAACAUGAUGAAUAAAUAAAUGAACUAUUUUUUUGGUGCUAAGGGACAAUAAUAGGAGAUUAUAGUGAAAUAAAUUAUUACUUUGCAAAAUAAAGACUCUAGGGCUUUUUUUAUAUUUAUUUUUGUAGUUGUAGUUGAACACAAUAACUAUUUUUAUGUG